GAUGAACGCUGGCGGCGUGCCUAAUACAUGCAAGUCGAGCGAACAUGCGAGGAGCUUGCUCCUCUUACCUUAGCGGCGGACGGGUGAGUAACACGUGAAUAACCUACCUAUAAGACUGGGACAACAGCGGGAAACCGCUGCUAAUACCGGAUAAUAUAUUGAACCGCAUUCGGCAAUAGUGAAAGACGGUUUUUCGCUCACGGAUAGAUUGGUCCGCGCCGCAUUAGCUAGUUGGUAAGGUAACGGCUUACCAAGGCAACGAUGCGUAGCCGCCAUGGAAGGGUGGACGGCCAGACUGGCACUGAGACACGGUCCACACUCCUACGCGAGGCAGCAGUAGGGACUCCUCCGCAAUGCGGGAAUGGGUGAUGGAGCACAGUCGCGUGAACGAUGAAGGUCUUACGCUCGUAGAACUAUGUAAUUAGUGAAGAACUAAUGUGCAAGUAACUAUGCCCGUAUUGACGGUACCUAACAAGAAAGCACCGGCUAACUACGUG
This 497-nucleotide ribosomal RNA is filed under the name uncultured bacterium. Its description in RNAcentral is "partial 16S ribosomal RNA". It matches the Rfam family "Bacterial small subunit ribosomal RNA", at positions 28 to 507 of the family's 1533-position model. The record is from RNAcentral.